Molecule: ribosomal RNA, 2904 nt
Filed under: Escherichia coli
Lineage: Bacteria; Pseudomonadati; Pseudomonadota; Gammaproteobacteria; Enterobacterales; Enterobacteriaceae
Description: bacterial LSU rRNA
Rfam family: Bacterial large subunit ribosomal RNA
Source: RNAcentral
UUAAGCGACUAAGCGUACACGGUGGAUGCCCUGGCAGUCAGAGGCGAUGAAGGACGUGCUAAUCUGCGAUAAGCGUCGGUAAGGUGAUAUGAACCGUUAUAACCGGCGAUUUCCGAAUGGGGAAACCCAGUGUGUUUCGACACACUAUCAUUAACUGAAUCCAUAGGUUAAUGAGGCGAACCGGGGGAACUGAAACAUCUAAGUACCCCGAGGAAAAGAAAUCAACCGAGAUUCCCCCAGUAGCGGCGAGCGAACGGGGAGCAGCCCAGAGCCUGAAUCAGUGUGUGUGUUAGUGGAAGCGUCUGGAAAGGCGCGCGAUACAGGGUGACAGCCCCGUACACAAAAAUGCACAUGCUGUGAGCUCGAUGAGUAGGGCGGGACACGUGGUAUCCUGUCUGAAUAUGGGGGGACCAUCCUCCAAGGCUAAAUACUCCUGACUGACCGAUAGUGAACCAGUACCGUGAGGGAAAGGCGAAAAGAACCCCGGCGAGGGGAGUGAAAAAGAACCUGAAACCGUGUACGUACAAGCAGUGGGAGCACGCUUCGGCGUGUGACUGCGUACCUUUUGUAUAAUGGGUCAGCGACUUAUAUUCUGUAGCAAGGUUAACCGAAUAGGGGAGCCGAAGGGAAACCGAGUCUUAACUGGGCGUUAAGUUGCAGGGUAUAGACCCGAAACCCGGUGAUCUAGCCAUGGGCAGGUUGAAGGUUGGGUAACACUAACUGGAGGACCGAACCGACUAAUGUUGAAAAAUUAGCGGAUGACUUGUGGCUGGGGGUGAAAGGCCAAUCAAACCGGGAGAUAGCUGGUUCUCCCCGAAAGCUAUUUAGGUAGCGCCUCGUGAAUUCAUCUCCGGGGGUAGAGCACUGUUUCGGCAAGGGGGUCAUCCCGACUUACCAACCCGAUGCAAACUGCGAAUACCGGAGAAUGUUAUCACGGGAGACACACGGCGGGUGCUAACGUCCGUCGUGAAGAGGGAAACAACCCAGACCGCCAGCUAAGGUCCCAAAGUCAUGGUUAAGUGGGAAACGAUGUGGGAAGGCCCAGACAGCCAGGAUGUUGGCUUAGAAGCAGCCAUCAUUUAAAGAAAGCGUAAUAGCUCACUGGUCGAGUCGGCCUGCGCGGAAGAUGUAACGGGGCUAAACCAUGCACCGAAGCUGCGGCAGCGACGCUGAUGCGUUGUUGGGUAGGGGAGCGUUCUGUAAGCCUGCGAAGGUGUGCUGUGAGGCAUGCUGGAGGUAUCAGAAGUGCGAAUGCUGACAUAAGUAACGAUAAAGCGGGUGAAAAGCCCGCUCGCCGGAAGACCAAGGGUUCCUGUCCAACGUUAAUCGGGGCAGGGUGAGUCGACCCCUAAGGCGAGGCCGAAAGGCGUAGUCGAUGGGAAACAGGUUAAUAUUCCUGUACUUGGUGUUACUGCGAAGGGGGGACGGAGAAGGCUAUGUUGGCCGGGCGACGGUUGUCCCGGUUUAAGCGUGUAGGCUGGUUUUCCAGGCAAAUCCGGAAAAUCAAGGCUGAGGCGUGAUGACGAGGCACUACGGUGCUGAAGCAACAAAUGCCCUGCUUCCAGGAAAAGCCUCUAAGCAUCAGGUAACAUCAAAUCGUACCCCAAACCGACACAGGUGGUCAGGUAGAGAAUACCAAGGCGCUUGAGAGAACUCGGGUGAAGGAACUAGGCAAAAUGGUGCCGUAACUUCGGGAGAAGGCACGCUGAUAUGUAGGUGAGGUCCCUCGCGGAUGGAGCUGAAAUCAGUCGAAGAUACCAGCUGGCUGCAACUGUUUAUUAAAAACACAGCACUGUGCAAACACGAAAGUGGACGUAUACGGUGUGACGCCUGCCCGGUGCCGGAAGGUUAAUUGAUGGGGUUAGCGGUAACGCGAAGCUCUUGAUCGAAGCCCCGGUAAACGGCGGCCGUAACUAUAACGGUCCUAAGGUAGCGAAAUUCCUUGUCGGGUAAGUUCCGACCUGCACGAAUGGCGUAAUGAUGGCCAGGCUGUCUCCACCCGAGACUCAGUGAAAUUGAACUCGCUGUGAAGAUGCAGUGUACCCGCGGCAAGACGGAAAGACCCCGUGAACCUUUACUAUAGCUUGACACUGAACAUUGAGCCUUGAUGUGUAGGAUAGGUGGGAGGCUUUGAAGUGUGGACGCCAGUCUGCAUGGAGCCGACCUUGAAAUACCACCCUUUAAUGUUUGAUGUUCUAACGUUGACCCGUAAUCCGGGUUGCGGACAGUGUCUGGUGGGUAGUUUGACUGGGGCGGUCUCCUCCUAAAGAGUAACGGAGGAGCACGAAGGUUGGCUAAUCCUGGUCGGACAUCAGGAGGUUAGUGCAAUGGCAUAAGCCAGCUUGACUGCGAGCGUGACGGCGCGAGCAGGUGCGAAAGCAGGUCAUAGUGAUCCGGUGGUUCUGAAUGGAAGGGCCAUCGCUCAACGGAUAAAAGGUACUCCGGGGAUAACAGGCUGAUACCGCCCAAGAGUUCAUAUCGACGGCGGUGUUUGGCACCUCGAUGUCGGCUCAUCACAUCCUGGGGCUGAAGUAGGUCCCAAGGGUAUGGCUGUUCGCCAUUUAAAGUGGUACGCGAGCUGGGUUUAGAACGUCGUGAGACAGUUCGGUCCCUAUCUGCCGUGGGCGCUGGAGAACUGAGGGGGGCUGCUCCUAGUACGAGAGGACCGGAGUGGACGCAUCACUGGUGUUCGGGUUGUCAUGCCAAUGGCACUGCCCGGUAGCUAAAUGCGGAAGAGAUAAGUGCUGAAAGCAUCUAAGCACGAAACUUGCCCCGAGAUGAGUUCUCCCUGACUCCUUGAGAGUCCUGAAGGAACGUUGAAGACGACGACGUUGAUAGGCCGGGUGUGUAAGCGCAGCGAUGCGUUGAGCUAACCGGUACUAAUGAACCGUGAGGCUUAACCUU